This 399-nucleotide unclassified non-coding RNA is filed under the name Acacia pubifolia. RNAcentral describes it as "partial external transcribed spacer". The record is from RNAcentral. Lineage: Eukaryota; Viridiplantae; Streptophyta; Magnoliopsida; Fabales; Fabaceae.
GUGGUGUUUGGAUCGUCCCUGCCGGCUGGCUCCGUGACCGUCCACCGAACGGUCGGCAGGCGAUCCGCGUCGGUCAAGCGAGGCGGUAUGGUUCCCUAGAGGCCGGUUCUUGUGCUGCCUACCCCUUCAGGGGAAGCGGGCCAGUUGAUGUAAGCCUCCAUCCGGCGCCCUCCGACGGGCGCAGGAGGACAACGUAGCACCCCCCGCGUUCCACCGAGCCUUAGCCGGUCGCGUGGCGCGCGGGGACGUGCGAUGCUCUCGGACCCAGCGAACGCCGUGGGCGAGGACUCACGUCCCGGUCCCGAUAGAAGCUCCCAUAUAAUGCUGACGGCCGCUCCCGUCCCCCGACCGCCCCGGCGGCGCGGGGGCGAGGCGCGGCGUCGCGGAGGAAUGCUACCU